UAAUUGGAGAGUUUGAUCCUGGCUCAGGACGAACGCUGGCGGCAUGCCUAAUACAUGCAAGUCGAGCGGAGUUUGAGAGGAAGCUUGCUUCCUUUCAAACUUAGCGGCGGACGGGUGAGUAACACGUAGGCAACCUGCCCUCAAGCCUGGGAUAACUACCGGAAACGGUAGCUAAUACCGGAUAAUUUCUUUCUUCUCCUGAAGAGAGAAUGAAAGGUGGAGCAAUCUGCUGCUUGGGGAUGGGCCUGCGGCGCAUUAGCUAGUUGGUGGGGUAACGGCCCACCAAGGCGACGAUGCGUAGCCGACCUGAGAGGGUGAACGGCCACACUGGGACUGAGACACGGCCCAGACUCCUACGGGAGGCAGCAGUAGGGAAUCUUCCGCAAUGGGCGCAAGCCUGACGGAGCAAUGCCGCGUGAGUGAUGAAGGUUUUCGGAUCGUAAAGCUCUGUUGCCAGGGAAGAACGUCCGGUAGAGUAACUGCUGCCGGAGUGACGGUACCUGAGAAGAAAGCCCCGGCUAACUACGUGCCAGCAGCCGCGGUAAUACGUAGGGGGCAAGCGUUGUCCGGAAUUAUUGGG
This 580-nucleotide ribosomal RNA is filed under the name Paenibacillus silagei. Its description in RNAcentral is "bacterial SSU rRNA". It matches the Rfam family "Bacterial small subunit ribosomal RNA", at positions 1 to 558 of the family's 1533-position model. The record is from RNAcentral. Lineage: Bacteria; Bacillati; Bacillota; Bacilli; Caryophanales; Paenibacillaceae.